UACGUAGGUAGCAAGCGUUGUUCGGAGUUACUGGGCGUAAAGGGUGCGUAGGCGGUCCUAUAAGUAUGGUGUGAAAUCUCCCGGCUUAACUGGGAGGGUGCGCUAUAGACUGUGGGACUAGAGUGUGGGAGAGGAAAGUGGAAUUCCUGGUGUAGCGGUGAAAUGCGUAGAUAUCAGGAGGAACACCGGUGGUGUAAACGGCUUUCUGGACCAUAACUGACGCUGAGGCACGAAAGCGUGGGUUGCAAACAGG
RNAcentral lists this ribosomal RNA (253 nucleotides) under uncultured bacterium. RNAcentral describes it as "partial 16S ribosomal RNA". It matches the Rfam family "Bacterial small subunit ribosomal RNA", at positions 524 to 776 of the family's 1533-position model. The record is from RNAcentral.